This 313-nucleotide signal recognition particle RNA is filed under the name Thermoplasmatales archaeon. RNAcentral describes it as "signal recognition particle sRNA". It matches the Rfam family "Archaeal signal recognition particle RNA". The record is from RNAcentral. Lineage: Archaea; Methanobacteriati; Thermoplasmatota; Thermoplasmata; Thermoplasmatales.
GUGCAGACUAGACUGGGGGGUUAGGCGUCCCCUGUAACUGGAAAUCGCCUUAGCCAGGGUCGAAGUUGCCAAGGCGGCACAUGCAUCUAGCAGGAAUCCAGCAUUUAACAAUGAUAUCUCGUCCUCUGGGAUUGGGGGUGAAAGACUGGAUAUCUGGAAGGAUAUCUGGUCUUUCUUUACCCUGGACAUCGGGCUAGGCCCGGAAGGGAGCAACCCAGCCAGGAACUACCAAUGCUCAGAGGGGUGCGGGAUGGAGGAGAAUGCUGGGCAAAUUCCUGUUGGAUGUAUGUGUCCACUUGGAACGCGUCUGCAC